GUGGGGAUAUAGCUCAGUUUGUAAAGUGUUUGCCUCACAUGUGCAAGAGGCCCUGGAUUCAAUCCCCAGCACCACA
Molecule: transfer RNA, 76 nt
Filed under: Marmota monax (woodchuck)
Lineage: Eukaryota; Metazoa; Chordata; Mammalia; Rodentia; Sciuridae
Description: tRNA.Val
Source: RNAcentral